RNAcentral lists this unclassified non-coding RNA (220 nucleotides) under uncultured Tomentella. RNAcentral's name for it is "sequence contains ITS2". The record is from RNAcentral. Lineage: Eukaryota; Fungi; Basidiomycota; Agaricomycetes; Thelephorales; Thelephoraceae.
ACACCUCAACUCUCAUGGUUCGCCGUGACGAGCUUGGACUUUGGAGGCUUUGCUGGCCUGCGGUCGGCUCCUCUCAAACAAAUCAGCUUACCGGUGUAUUGGUGGCGUCGCGGGUGUGAUAACUAUCUACGCUUGCGGUCGCCUGCCAAACAACCUCUGGCGCUGUCGGAGGUUUGCUGGGGCUCAUAAACGUCUCCCGAGUGAAGACAGCCUUCUGAAC